ACUAUGUGUCACACUCAUAGCCUUCCGGAGUUGGGAACCGGGACAGUUGUUAGCUGUGCUGGUGUAAACAUUAAAUGUACAGUGGCGUGUUUUCUUUUGGUGGUUAAUGGGCCUGUUCACAGACUAAACUGUCCAAGUUCCCAUGUGCUGUAUGUAGCAGCAGAUGCUCUCCAAGUAGCGUGACCCUUCCCCCUGAAGCUGUCUGACUGAUCCUGUCAUCAGCUGGUUGAACUACAGCUUCUGUGACUGGCAGCAGAGCAGGAUGUCAGACAGCGGGAACCAGUCCUGUCUGAUGGGAGCAGAGGACACGGUCUCCUUCCUGGUGUGUUUGUUUCGAGAAUGGGAAGAGUGGGCCGGCCUUGGUCAGGUGGAGGACUAUCUGAGUGUUUUGGAGUACUUGGUGUGGGUCUUCACCCCUCUGGCCAUCGUCUUCAUAUUGCCCUUCCUCAUCGUCAUCCUUCUUUACCUCUCUAUACUCUUCCUUCAUGUCUAUAAGAGGAAGAAUCAGCUGAGGGAAGCUUACUGCAACAAUCUGUGGGAUGGAGCCAGGAAGACCCUGGCAACUCUGUGGGACGGACAUGGAGCCAUAUGGCAUGGCUACGAGAUACAUGGGAUGGAGAAGAUCCCUGAUGAAGGACCAGCACUGAUAGUGUACUAUCAUGGAGCCAUUCCUGUAGACUACUAUUACUUUCUGGCCAAUGUUAUCAUCCAGAAGGGACGGACCUGCCACUCUGUAGCUGACCAUUUCCUCUUCAAGGUCCCAGGUUUCAAGCUACUGUUGGAGGUGUUCAGUGUAAUCCAUGGUCCUCAGGAGGAGUGUGUGCGGGCUCUGAGGAACGGCGACCUGUUAGGGAUUUCUCCAGGAGGAGUGCGGGAGGCUCUGUUCAGUGAUGAGACCUACCCUCUUCUCUGGGGCAAACGCAAAGGCUUCGCCCAGGUCGCCAUCGACUCUCAAGUGCCAAUAAUUCCAAUGUUUACUCAAAAUGUGCGAGAAGGCUUCAGAUCUCUGGGAACACUCAGGUUUUUCCGCUGGGUGUAUGACAGGUUUCGUCUCCCUAUAGCUCCUGUUUAUGGUGGAUUUCCUGUGAAGUUUCGGACCUUUCUUGGUGAUCCCAUCCCAUAUGACCCCAACAUAAACGCUGCAGAGCUGGCAGAGAAAGUCCAGCAUGCAGUCCAGUCUCUGAUAGACCAGCACCAGCAGAUACCGGGGAACAUCCUGAGAGCCUUGUUGGAAAGAUUUCACACCAAACACAAAGACCAUUAACAUCAACAGUCCAGCAGUCCAUCGUGUGACUAAAACAACCCGUCACAUCGGCUCAGGCGGCUGCAGUGUGCACAGACCAGGACCCACCCGGCUGCCGUCUGGAGAUACGGACGUAUUCGCUGACUUCAGAGCAGUUUCUUUCCCCAGGCUGUGAGACUCCUCCAUUCCUCCUCUACAUGCCACCAUAAAUAAUGGUUUUCUGUUUGGUUUUGUGUAAAAUGAGGGGACACCUUACAGCUUUGCGUUUCGUUGUACAACCUGGUGUUGUUUAAUGAUAAAUAAAUGAACCUUGAACCUUGAAUAUAGACAUGCAGUUAAUGGUAAUGUUUUAUUCUUCUGACUUACUCUCUUAGGACGUGUCUUCAUAGGAUAUGAAAGGGAAAUCUAAUUUGGUAGUAUAAUUAAAUGGAAGGGGGUGGUGAAUUAUAGAGACAUGUUCUACAGUACCUUCUGACUGACUGAAUCUUACACUGCCAGUGACUGGCUAAUAGUUUCUGGGACAGUUUGCAGGAGCUUUUUCCAAUAUAUUUACCAUUAUAGAAUUGACACAGAGGCUGGACAAACACCUGGCGAUGAAAUUCAAUCCAAUAUAAUUCCAUUUUUUGGUGAGACUGUCAAAGAGGUGUUGAUUCAUUUCUUGGUUAUCUGUGAAGCUGUAGUUUAUGUUGUGUAUUUAAUUCGAUUGUAAGGUCUUCCUAUUAUUUUGUCCAUGGUUGCACAAAUAUCUUGGUAUUUCCAGAUAUUCAGAAUUAACCAAAUCACAGACCCAUCGUAAAUAACUCGUGGAAUGAUUAAUUCAACUUAGAAGAUACACCGGAAAGCUUUAAAUUCUGCUGAAAUAAUUUAUUAAGCAAGGGAUUAUCUUUGAGGUGUACCUUGAACCAGACUGAUCAGUAUCAGAACAUGUGAUGUUGCUUGCUUCAAAUUGUAACACCUUUUCCUAUUGGCUUUAAAAAUAAGAGCAACCAUCUUAAUUUGAAACUAUUAGAUGGUCAACGUAAAAUGAAUCAACAUGAUUGGAAAGCAUGAAGUGUGAGGAUUUGCUGCUUCUCUCUUUUUUAUAAUAUUGGACUGUAAGUCAGACAAAACAUUUGAAGACAGUACCUUGCUCUCUGGGAACUUAUGAUUACCAUAAUUUGUUGACAUUUAAAUUGAUUAAUUUAAAGAAAAAAAUAAUGAUAUCUAUCAUUGGCUGUAGCCCGACAAAUAGCAGUGGACUUUGUUGUGCCUUGACUCUGAAAAUGCCAAAGUUGAUUUGAUUUUGAUUUUAUUGGACAGUAACACAAAUAAAUACAUAAAAAGAUGCCAACACAGUGACAGUACAAAUCUAUCAGAACUGUCAAGGAUAACACAAAAAAGUUACAAACUUAUGUUCAUUGUGGUCCUCGUUGUAGUCUGAUAAAGAAAGCAAGGCAAGCCAAGGAUGACUAAAAGUACCCCAUACAAUCAACCCUUAAAAUGAGCUGAUAAGUUGUAGAUUAUUUGUUAGAGUUGAUGCAGUAGGUGCCUUUUGUCAGUCAAUGAAACUUCACGUGAUUGAUAGGACUAUAUUUAGUUAAAGAGGGAGAUAUAUGCACUUAACAAAUAUACAGAGAAGUUCAAAAUGUAUUAAAAUAAAACAAGAUGACUGAAAACAAUAAAAUAGAUAAACAGUGUUAAUGAGCCAUAGCCAGACUAAAAAGGCAAAUAUUUUAAUUCAGCUCUAAGCUAAAGGAUGGUACCAAAUGGUUUACACUUUGGAAUAACUGGUACAUACAAAAGCAUUUCGAGAAGGCAGGUAUAAUGCAGUGAAAAGAUUUUGAAGCAACCAAUGCGAGGAAUGUAAAAUAAUUUGUGCUGUCCUUCUGGCCUGGAGAGAUGACUUCACUUUAGCAGUUUUCAGAAAGAGAGAGAGCAGAUUUGAUUUCAAAUCCCCUUUUUAAACAUCAUUCCCUUAAACCUUCAUUAGACGCCUAUUGAUGUUAUUAUUCUUAUGCAUUAUUGUCUAGGGUUUUUUUAUAUAUUUUUUUGGCACAGAUGCAGUUUUGGUGGGGAAAAACUACAUCCUGAUAUUCAUGUGUUGAUAGUUUUUACAGAAAUCUUCACCACUAGUACUAACCAAAUAUUAUCAACAUGUACAGUCACUUCUGCCAGAGAGUGUACAACACAGAAGAACUGAAAUUAAUGGCAAAUAGAAAUGUCUCAAGCUGAAUUUAAGUACAUAACAUCUAACCAAAUGAUCACUAUUGGAGAACUUGUUUUGCGCUUCAUUCUGAUUUCUAUAUUUUUCUGUGUGUGUGUGUGUGUGUGUGUGUGAGCAAACAAAACUGAGCCUUUUACCUUGACAGAUACUGACCACCAAAACCUCAGUGUCCCCUUACAAAACUCAAGUAUCUUCUCGCUGUAAUAUUUAUCAUAUCAGUACAAAUACUGAUCUAUCACUUUAUUACUGCAUAGUUUGUGUGUAUAAACAUACUAUGCAGCAAUAAAGAUAAUGAUCUAAAAAUAAAUAAUGAUGUAAUAUGAUCAUAUUUAUCAUUGUCGGUGCUUAAUCAGCAGUGUUGUAAAUCAAAUAAACUAAUCAUUUAUCAUUUACAAAUUGUGGGUUGGAGAUUAAGUGUAAUAGUCUGUGUGUUUUAACAUAUUUAUAUAUAUUUGCAUGUAUAAGUAUGUAAAUAUGAUUCAACAAGGUAUUUUGCACUAAGUCUUCAAAGUAUCACUGCCAACUGUGAUUUUAUUUUUCAUUUUUAAAGACGCCUUUUGUGAGACCAAGUGUGUUUUUGAGAUAUCUAACUGCAUGCUUUACUGCUGUUGCCUUCUUUCUUUCUUUAUGUUGUUAGUUUUGAGAUGACCUAACAUAUAUUUGUAAUUUGUGUCAAUAUAAUAUAAAUGUUGCACUUUUAAAUAUUGAGAUCCCAUCAAUCUGUUAAUAAAUCUAUUUUAUUAAGA
RNA transcript from Micropterus dolomieu (smallmouth bass), 4192 nucleotides. It is a transcript of the gene named transmembrane protein 68, with no coding region annotated. The transcript is spliced from 10 exons. NCBI's taxonomy places the organism in Eukaryota, Metazoa, Chordata, Actinopteri, Centrarchiformes, Centrarchidae. The record is from RefSeq and is a predicted model, not a curated record.